GGAUGAACGCUGGCGGCGUGCCUAAUACAUGCAAGUCGGACGGAUGUAGCAAUACAUUAGUGGCGAACGGGUGAGUAACACGUAGGUGACCUGCCCUAAAGAGGGGAAUACCACUUCGAAAGGAGUGACAAAACCGCAUAAACUUAUAGAGAUCAGAAGGCUAUAAGGAAAAGAGCGAUCUACUUUAGGAGGGGCCUGCGGCCCAUCAGCUAGUUGGUAGAGGUAACGGCCUACCAAGGCGAAGACGGGUAGGGGACCUGAGAGGGUGAUCCCCCACAAUGGAACUGAAACACGGUCCAUACACCUGCGGGUGGCAGCAGUAGGGAAUAUUGCUUAAUGGGCGAAAGCCUGAAGCAGCAACACCGCGUGUGCGAUGAAGGCCUUCGGGUCGUAAAGCACUUUUUGGAGGGAAUAGGAAGGAAGGUACCUCCAGAAUAAGUCUCGGCUAACUACGUGCCAGCAGCCGCGGUAACACGUAGGAGGCAAACGUUAUCCGGAUUCACUGGGCGUAAAGCGCGUGUAGGUGGUUCUGUAAGUAGGGCGUGAAAGCUCCCGGCUCAACUGGGAGAGGCCGUACUAAACUGCAGAGCUAGAGGAUGGUAGAGGGAGGUGGAAUUCCAGGUGUAGUGGUGAAAUGCGCAGAUAUCUGGAGGAACACCAGUGGCGAAGGCGGCCUCCUGGACCAUUCCUGACACUCAGACGCGAAAGCUAGGGUAGCAAACGGAAUUAGAGACUCCGGUAGUCCUAGCCCUAAACGAUGCAGACUAGGCGUCGGCGGUUUAAUCACCGUCGGUGUCCAAGCUAACGCGAUAAGUCUGCCGCCUGAGGACUACGGCCGCAAGGCUAAAACUCAAAGGAAUUGACGGGUCCCCGCACAAGCAGCGGAGCGUGUGGUUUAAUUCGAUGCUCCGCGAAAAACCUUACCUGGGUUUGACAUAACAGUGGUAGAGAAGUGAAAACGGACCGACCCCUCGGGGAGCUGUUACAGGUGUUGCAUGGCUGUCGUCAGCUCGUGUCGUGAGAUGUUCGGUUAAGUCCGCUAACGAGCGCAACCCGCGCUGUGUGUUACAAGUGUCACACAGUACCGCCGGUAUUAAGUCGGAGGAAGGUGCGGAUGACGUCAAGUCAGCAUGACCUUUAUAUCCAGGGCUACACACACGCUACAAUGGUCAGAACAAUAGGUUGCCAAGCCGCAAGGCGGAGCCAAUCCUCCAAAUCUGGCCUCAGUUCAGAUUGCAGGCUGCAACUCGCCUGCAUGAAGUCGGAGUUGCUAGUAACCGCAGGUCAGCAUACUGCGGUGAAUACGUUCCCGGGGAU
Molecule: ribosomal RNA, 1317 nt
Filed under: uncultured bacterium
Lineage: Bacteria
Description: bacterial SSU rRNA
Rfam family: Bacterial small subunit ribosomal RNA
Source: RNAcentral